CAGCCGCCACGGUAAUACGUAGGGUGCAAGCGUUAAUCGGAAUUACUGGGCGUAAAGCGUGCGCAGGCGGUGUUGUAAGACUGAUGUGAAAUCCCCGGGCUUAACCUGGGAACUGCAUUUGAAACUGGCAGGCUAGAGUCUUGUAGAGGGGGGUAGAAUUCCAGGUGUAGCGGUGAAAUGCGUAGAGGUCUGGAGGAAUACCGGUGGCGAAGGCGACCACCUGGACUGAUACUGACACUGAGGUGCGAAAGCGUGGGGAGCAAACAGGAUUAGAUACCCCAGUAGUCCCUGUCUCUUAUAC
RNAcentral lists this ribosomal RNA (301 nucleotides) under uncultured bacterium. RNAcentral describes it as "partial 16S ribosomal RNA". It matches the Rfam family "Bacterial small subunit ribosomal RNA", at positions 509 to 807 of the family's 1533-position model. The record is from RNAcentral.